RNAcentral lists this ribosomal RNA (465 nucleotides) under uncultured Klebsiella sp. Its description in RNAcentral is "bacterial SSU rRNA". It matches the Rfam family "Bacterial small subunit ribosomal RNA", at positions 338 to 795 of the family's 1533-position model. The record is from RNAcentral. Lineage: Bacteria; Pseudomonadati; Pseudomonadota; Gammaproteobacteria; Enterobacterales; Enterobacteriaceae.
CCUACGGGAGGCUGCAGUGGGGAAUAUUGCACAGUGGGCGCAAGCCUGAUGCAGCCAUGCCGCGUGUGUGAAGAAGGCCUUCGGGUUGUAAAGCACUUUCAGCGGGGAGGAAGGCGUUAAGGUUAAUAACCUUGUCGAUUGACGUUACCCGCAGAAGAAGCACCGGCUAACUCCGUGCCAGCAGCCGCGGUAAUACGGAGGGUGCAAGCGUUAAUCGGAAUUACUGGGCGUAAAGCGCACGCAGGCGGUCUGUCAAGUCGGAUGUGAAAUCCCCGGGCUCAACCUGGGAACUGCAUUCGAAACUGGCAGGCUAGAGUCUUGUAGAGGGGGGUAGAAUUCCAGGUGUAGCGGUGAAAUGCGUAGAGAUCUGGAGGAAUACCGGUGGCGAAGGCGGCCCCCUGGACAAAGACUGACGCUCAGGUGCGAAAGCGUGGGGAGCAAACAGGAUUAGAUACCCCGGUAGUC